GGAAUUUUCCACAAUGGGCGAAAGCCUGAUGGAGCAACGCCGCGUGCAGGAUGACGGCCUUCGGGUUGUAAACUGCUUUUAUGAGUGAAGAAUUUGACGGUAACUCAAGAAUAAGGGUCGGCUAACUACGUGCCAGCAGCCGCGGUCAUACGUAGGACCCAAGCGUUAUCCGGAAUUACUGGGCGUAAAGAGUUGCGUAGGUGGUCUUCUAAGCAGAACGUGAAAGCGUACGGCUCAACCGUAUACACAU
RNAcentral lists this ribosomal RNA (250 nucleotides) under uncultured bacterium. RNAcentral describes it as "partial 16S ribosomal RNA". It matches the Rfam family "Bacterial small subunit ribosomal RNA", at positions 358 to 624 of the family's 1533-position model. The record is from RNAcentral.